RNAcentral lists this ribosomal RNA (116 nucleotides) under Pogona vitticeps (central bearded dragon). The record is from RNAcentral. Lineage: Eukaryota; Metazoa; Chordata; Lepidosauria; Squamata; Agamidae.
UUCAAUACUACCAUCAGUAUUCACCAAUCCCAUCUGAUUUUGGCAGCUAAACAGGGUUGCACCUGGUUAGCACUUGGAUGAGAGGCUAUCAGAGAAUAGGGAUCCCCAGGUAGGAC